AAGUUAUAAAGCUAUAAAAAUUAAGAUGGUGUUUUCAUUGUUUUGAACAGAGGUGCUACAGCAAGUGGGUCUUGUCACAUUUGGGGGGCUGUAGCCAUGUCCCUCAAAGUGAAUUUGGAGGCUCUACACAC
Molecule: small nucleolar RNA, 131 nt
Organism: Hippopotamus amphibius kiboko
Lineage: Eukaryota; Metazoa; Chordata; Mammalia; Artiodactyla; Hippopotamidae
Product: small nucleolar RNA SNORA68
Exons: 1
Source: RefSeq, a predicted model, not a curated record